Molecule: long non-coding RNA, 406 nt
Filed under: Manihot esculenta (cassava)
Lineage: Eukaryota; Viridiplantae; Streptophyta; Magnoliopsida; Malpighiales; Euphorbiaceae
Description: long non-coding RNA (MESC_LNC009471)
Source: RNAcentral
AUCGUUACAACCCAGAGAGACAUCCUCCCAGGGGAGAUAGAGCUCCCAAGCCAACCCCGUUUGCUUCUUUAAUUCUACCACCAGAAACCCCUCUACCCAGCCUUUGAUAGAGUCUUUAUAACCCGUGAAAAUGGACAACCCUCCGCGAGGGGCAAAGUAGUAAAAUUUUUGGCUCGCCUUGACCAGCCUGAAGAAGCUUACGAACAGGUUAACUGUGGGAGUAAACUCCCAGCUCAAACACACAGACUCGAAGGAAGACAUGAAGAGAAUAGAGUUAGGGGUUAGCAUUCGAGGGGUGAUCUCGAAAUAUCGGAAGACCUCGUUGAAGAACGGAGAAAAGGGGAAAGACAAACCAUAUUCCCUCUGCUUGAUGAAAAAGACUAGACUAGCGUCUCUUUGGGGGUCG